This 780-nucleotide long non-coding RNA is filed under the name Strigops habroptila (Kakapo). RNAcentral describes it as "lncRNA (ENSSHBG00005018307.1)". Lineage: Eukaryota; Metazoa; Chordata; Aves; Psittaciformes; Psittacidae. The record is from RNAcentral.
AGGAUGCAUGGUUAGGGAAGGAUGGAUGAAGAAGAGAAAGGUGGAUGGAUGGAUGGAUGGAUGGAUGGAUGGAUGGAUGGAUGGAUGGAUGGAGAAGGAUGCAUGGUUGAGGAAGGAUGGAUGGAAAAGAGAUGGAUGGAUGGAUGAAUGGGAAUGAGAAGGCUGGCUGGUUGCAAGCAGAGGGGGAAACCUGGAUGUUUCUUAGCUCCAUGGUGGAUCUGACAAUCCUCAAGACCCAUCUCUUGGUGCUUGGCUCUUGGUGCUGGGAAAGCCCUGCCUGGCAGCAGCUCUGCUCCGUGCUGGCAGGAGGCAAGCAGCUACCGCCUGGCACUGAAGCGGAUGGCCGGGGACAUCCUGUCCCUGCGCCAGCAGGUCACCAGCCUGGAGGUGGAGAACAGGCACCUGCGGCGCAGCCUGGCCUCGCAGGACGAGCUGGGCCACGAGCUGCUCAUGGAUGGGGACACGGACGUCAUGACCCGGGAGGAGCUGCUGGACAGGCUGGCCACCCUCAAGCAUCAACUGGUGGCUGGUACAGCUGAGAUGAGGAGGCUGAAGGACCGUGUCCAGCAGCUGCAGAAUGAGCUGAUCCGGAAGAACGACCGGGAGAAGGAGUUGGUGCUGCUGCAGCGAGCCCACCGACAGCAGCAAACUGCACUGAGGAGGUGCCAGGAGAAGGUGGCCAAGAUGAAAGGCUUGGAGGAGACAGUGCGGCAGCAGGAGAAGGUGGGUUGUGGGGCAUGAGGUUGGGGCGAGAAGGACAGACUGGGAGGCACGAUGCUC